GACGAACGCUGGCGGCGUGCUUAACACAUGCAAGUCGAACGGAAAGGCCCUGCUUUUGUGGGGUGCUCGAGUGGCGAACGGGUGAGUAACACGUGAGUAACCUGCCCUUGACUUUGGGAUAACUUCAGGAAACUGGGGCUAAUACCGGAUAGGAGCUCCUGCUGCAUGGUGGGGGUUGGAAAGUUUCGGCGGUUGGGGAUGGACUCGCGGCUUAUCAGCUUGUUGGUGGGGUAGUGGCUUACCAAGGCUUUGACGGGUAGCCGGCCUGAGAGGGUGACCGGCCACAUUGAGCCUAAGAUACGGCCCAGAGUCCUACGGGAGGCAGCAGUGUGGAAUAUUGCACAAUGGGCGGAGGCCUGAUGCAGCACCCCCGCGUGCGGGAUGACGGCCUUCGGGUUGUAAACCGCUUUCGCCGGUGACGAAGCGUGAGUGACGGUAAUGGGUAAAGAAGCACCGGCUAACUACGUG
RNAcentral lists this ribosomal RNA (468 nucleotides) under uncultured bacterium. Its description in RNAcentral is "partial 16S ribosomal RNA". It matches the Rfam family "Bacterial small subunit ribosomal RNA", at positions 28 to 507 of the family's 1533-position model. The record is from RNAcentral.